RNAcentral lists this ribosomal RNA (491 nucleotides) under uncultured bacterium. Its description in RNAcentral is "bacterial SSU rRNA". It matches the Rfam family "Bacterial small subunit ribosomal RNA", at positions 30 to 517 of the family's 1533-position model. The record is from RNAcentral.
AUUGAACGCUGGCGGCAGGCCUAACACAUGCAAGUCGAGCGAGAAAGGUCUUCGGACUGAGUACAGCGGCGGACGGGUGAGUAAUGCGCAGGAAUCUACCUGGUAGUGGGGGAUAACUCGGGGAAACUCGAACUAAUACCGCAUACGCCCUACGGGGGAAAGCGGGGGACCUUCGGGCCUCGCGCUAUCAGAUGAGCCUGCGUAGGAUUAGCUUGUUGGUGAGGUAAAGGCUCACCAAGGCGACGAUCCUUAGCUGGUCUGAGAGGAUGAUCAGCCACACUGGAACUGAGACACGGUCCAGACUCCUACGGGAGGCAGCAGUGGGGAAUAUUGCGCAAUGGGCGAAAGCCUGACGCAGCCAUGCCGCGUGUGUGAAGAAGGCCCUUGGGUUGUAAAGCACUUUCAAUUGGGAAGAAGGUUAGCGUGUUAAUAGCACGUAGCUGUGACGUUACCUUUAGAAGAAGCACCGGCUAACUCCGUGCCAGCAGCCG